UACAGAGGGUGCUAGCGUUGUUCGGAAUCACUGGGCGUAAAGGGCGCGUAGGCGGCCUGCUAAGUCGGAUGUGAAAUCCCUCGGCUCAACCGAGGAACUGCAUCCGAUACUGGCGGGCUUGAAUCCGGGAGAGGGAUGUGGAAUUCCAGGUGUAGCGGUGAAAUGCGUAGAUAUCUGGAGGAACACCGGUGGCGAAGGCGGCAUCCUGGACCGGUAUUGACGCUGAGGCGCGAAAGCUAGGGGAGCAAACGGG
Molecule: ribosomal RNA, 253 nt
Filed under: uncultured bacterium
Lineage: Bacteria
Description: partial 16S ribosomal RNA
Rfam family: Bacterial small subunit ribosomal RNA
Source: RNAcentral